This 768-nucleotide long non-coding RNA is filed under the name Parus major (Great Tit). RNAcentral's name for it is "lncRNA (ENSPMJG00000018614.1)". Lineage: Eukaryota; Metazoa; Chordata; Aves; Passeriformes; Paridae. The record is from RNAcentral.
AUGAUCCUAGUUUCUCUGAAGAUGACAGGAGUCCUGCAAUUGACUUCAGUGGGAUUGGGCCCUAAGUCACUAAAUAACAUUUUCCAUGGUGGAUUUAGGAAGAGAAUCAAACAAUUAUCUGAGGUAUGUUCAAGGAUGACAAGCUCUGAAAUCAGGACACAUCCAGAGCUUCAGGCUGAAUGAAACACAGUAGGAUGGAUUAAGAAAUAUCAAAUGCUGUAAGAGAAAGGAUAAAAGGAGCACCAGAUGUGACUGGGACUGCAUUAGCAGAAAAGAGCUGUGCAGAGUAUUGUGGUUUUCAUUUGUUAGGGUUGUUGGAAACAUUUCUAUAAGUGUCUUUCAGCAGACAGCAGUGCAGCUUGAAGCUUGGGGUUCAAGGAAAUUGAAAAAUACAAUCAAGUCUCUCUCUGAUUUAGGAACAGAGCUGUGCUGUGAUGUGUACAACGGUGCACCCUGGCUAUUAUCCAAUUUGGUUUCAUUAAUUCCAAUAGUCCUUCCAUAUGCAAAUUUAUAACAUCACAAAAUAUCAAUCACAUAUUGAAUAGUGCCAUCAUAUCCAGUUGCAAACUUUGCACACAGUCUGGAGGCAGAAUUUUUGUUUUGAUCAUAUACAAUACUAUGCUAAAUCGUGUGGUAUUUGUCCCAUUCCCAGCACAGUCAUUUGGCUUUUCCCAAAGCCCAAGACAGGGGAUUCAUCUUUCUGAGAUUCUGGCCAAUCUCCUCCCUGUCUUGUUCCUACUUUGAAUAAAAUGAAUUCACAGUAUGACA